CGGCACCCAGGCCGUUCUCUGGCCUGGAGGCGGGUGGGCUUUGCUCCAUCUCACCGGGGGCCUCGUCAUGUACGCACGCACGCACGCACACACACACGCGCACACAUGCACACACACGCACACACACCGAUGGCAUGGACUGCCACUUGAGGGGAAUUCCGAAUGUUGGGGUGGGAGCCAGACGAACCUAAGUGAGCGUAUGUCUGACACCUUCGUUACACCAGAAGGCAGCUGAGAGGGACAGAAAAGGGAAGGGAUUUAUUCGAGGUCCCCCAGGAGACUGGUGCCAGCCAGAUGUGAGCCGAGGGGAUUUAGGCCGGCGGGUCAGAUCUCCGGCCACAGAGCAGGAUCUGGACCCUUCCCGCUCCCAGGGGCCGCCUUCCUGGGAGCUGGCCCCAGAAGCUUCUCCAAACCCCAGAAACGCCCCAGGUCUUUGGACUGUUGUUUGUAAGGGGCCAGAAGGCUCUUCCCAGGGCUGGAAGCUGGGGCCUGUCCCCAGCCAGGCUGGCUGAGGAGUGUUCUGUACUCCAAAGAGAAGAACCGAAGUCGGAUCAAUGAGAGCCUAGGCCCAGGCCCCAGCAGGUCAGUGGACUCUGCUGGUCCAGUCUGCUCUCCAGAGUGACACCUCCACUACCUGCUUCUGGGGGCCGCUGUGAAGGAAAGCCUGGCUGCAGAAGUGAGUCGUCAUCUCCCUGAACUGAGGGUGAUUUUCAUUUCAACGCAUUUCAGACGCCUGGGAAGCUGCCUUCGGACGUGCCCAGGCCUAGAAAUCCUCUCCCAGCUGUAAGUCUGUGAUCCUGUUGCGUAAAGCAAGAUUUUCCAAAAGAUGCUCCUGAGGAGGAACCUCUGGUGUUCUACAUUCAGCAAAUGGCGGAGGG
This is a long non-coding RNA of Vombatus ursinus (common wombat), 878 nucleotides long. RefSeq lists it as uncharacterized. The record is from RefSeq and is a predicted model, not a curated record. The transcript has 3 exons. Lineage: Eukaryota; Metazoa; Chordata; Mammalia; Diprotodontia; Vombatidae.